UACGAAGGUCCCGAGCGUUGUUCGGAAUCACUGGGCGUAAAGGGAGCGUAGGCGGUGCGGUAAGUCAGAUGUGAAAUCCCGGGGCUCAACCCCGGAACUGCAUCCGAUACUGCCGUGCUAGAGUGAUGGAGAGGUAGCUGGAAUUCACGGUGUAGCAGUGAAAUGCGUGGAUAUCGUGAGGAACACUCGUGGCGAAAGCGAGCUACUGGACAUUUACUGACGCUGAGGCUCGAAGGCCAGGGUAGCGAAA
This 250-nucleotide ribosomal RNA is filed under the name uncultured bacterium. RNAcentral's name for it is "partial 16S ribosomal RNA". It matches the Rfam family "Bacterial small subunit ribosomal RNA", at positions 524 to 773 of the family's 1533-position model. The record is from RNAcentral.